RNAcentral lists this ribosomal RNA (367 nucleotides) under uncultured Glomeromycotina. RNAcentral's name for it is "LSU rRNA". The record is from RNAcentral. Lineage: Eukaryota; Fungi; Glomeromycota.
UUGAAAGGGAAACGAUUGAAGUCAGUCGUACCGACGAGAAAUCAGCUUUUCGAAUGUGCAUUUGUGGGCGUAUGAGAUCUUCAUUGUUUGCAAUAUGUAUAUUUCUUUGGUGUACUUUUUCGUAUGGUAGGUCAACGUCGGUUUUGAUCGCCAUAAAAUGAUCGGAGGAAUGUACCUUCGGGGGGCGGUUGAAGUGUUAUAGCCUUUGGUAAAUGUGGUGAUUAGGACCGAGGAUUGCAACGAAUACCUUUUAGGCUAUCCGUCUGACCUCUGAAAGUUACUUAGGUGCCGAAAGCUUGCUUACGGUCAUUUAAGUUGACGGUCAAUAGGUUAGAACGUGAUUACAUUCGUUAAGGAUGUUGACGUA